GGAGGAAGUAAUGACCGCAGCCCUGAGAGGAUCACCGGGACAGGCACCUAGGCUUCCGAAGUUGAAAGCUUCUUUGGCAGAACCUGUGGCAUGGAACCUGAACUAUCCUGUAUCCUUGCCUUGGCUAAUGAGCCCAUGGAGAGAGCCCAUGGAGAGAGGUGGAGAGGAACGAGGACCUCUUCCUGGAAGGUGCCUUCAGAAUGCAGAAGAGCCGAGCUUUUGGUCGAAUUGCUUCCAGACAAGCAACUGUUCCAAAUCUCCCUACACGUGUUUACAUUUUGGAAACAAGUGUCAGAACUGGAGAUGUUUCAGAAUGUUGAGAUACUGUGAUACUCGGGUAAAUAAAUGUACAAACAAGCCGCUCCAAGAGUAUGUUAUGAUUGACAAGGGGACUAAAUUUGUAUGGUGAACUGGCUCAGAAGAUGGGUAAGAAAUCCUAAAUUAUGAUGGGUCAGGUCUGCAAUACUAGAGUAAGAUCGUAGCCUCUGGAAGGUGACACUUAGGAAUGACAGCAUCUGUUUGCUGAUAAAAACCUUAGGCGUAUCUGUCUUAGAAAUAAAUACCUAUUAAUAUACUUCUAAGAUCUGUGUAUGAGUAUACAUGCACAUAUUUAGUAGUCUUAAGAUUUCA
Long non-coding RNA from Fukomys damarensis (Damara mole-rat), 630 nucleotides. Lineage: Eukaryota; Metazoa; Chordata; Mammalia; Rodentia; Bathyergidae. The record is from Ensembl.